UUAACAAGGAAAACACGGAAAACACCAUGUAAGACAUGUAUGUCAUACAGGUUUGGAACCACAUGAGGAUGAAAAAAAAUUAUGACAGAAUUUUUGGAUGGAAACUGCAGAGAACCACAUCCUGUUGUCCUGAAAAAAAGAAAGAGACUACUUUCUCCAAGGCGGUCCAAACGCCAUUGUCACAGACUUUGUUCAGUGAUCAGUAACAUACAUUCAGCCAGGGCCAUCCUUAGGGGGUGCAACUGAUGCGGUCACACCGGACUCCACACUUGAGGGGUAAACGGACUGAAUGAGCCCCC
This is a long non-coding RNA of Carassius carassius (crucian carp), 299 nucleotides long. RefSeq lists it as uncharacterized. NCBI's taxonomy places the organism in Eukaryota, Metazoa, Chordata, Actinopteri, Cypriniformes, Cyprinidae. The record is from RefSeq and is a predicted model, not a curated record. The transcript has 3 exons.